Molecule: non-coding RNA, 235 nt
Organism: Pelobates cultripes (western spadefoot toad)
Lineage: Eukaryota; Metazoa; Chordata; Amphibia; Anura; Pelobatidae
Source: the annotation of a GenBank genome assembly
CAUCAUACGCUUCCUACAGCCACCCAUACAGUCACGGCCACUCUUUCGUUCCAGAGACAAAAUCAUGGAUUAGACAUACUCAUGCAGCAUGGCAUGCACUAUCCCACCUAGCACUUUCAUCCCAUACUUGUAGAAUGCAUAACACAGCUAUUAACCUGGCUUUAAAGAAUCUCAUUGGAACACGACAUAGCUCAACCUGUGUCAUAACAUUUCUCCUAGGUUUUGCUUCAUUUUU